RNAcentral lists this ribosomal RNA (588 nucleotides) under uncultured bacterium. RNAcentral describes it as "partial 16S ribosomal RNA". It matches the Rfam family "Bacterial small subunit ribosomal RNA", at positions 355 to 1375 of the family's 1533-position model. The record is from RNAcentral.
UGGGGAAUUUUGGACAAUGGGCGAAAGCCUGAUCCAGCAAUGCCGCGUGUGUGAAGAAGGCCUUCGGGUUGUAAAGCACUUUUGUCCGGAAAGAAAUCCUUGGCUCUAAUACAGUCGGGGGAUGACGGUACCGGAAGAAUAAGCACCGGCUAACUACGUGCCAGCAGCCGCGGUAAUACGUAGGGUGCAAGCGUUAAUCGGAAUUACUGGGCGUAAAGCGUGCGCAGGCGGUUUGCUAAGACCGAUGUGAAAUCCCCGGGCUCAACCUGGGAACUGCAUUGGUGACUGGCAGGCUAGAGUAUGGCAGAGGGGGGUAGAAUUCCACGUGUAGCAGUGAAAUGCGUAGAGAUGUGGAGGAAUACCGAUGGCGAAGGCAGCCCCCUGGGCCAAUACUGACGCUCAUGCACGAAAAGCGUGGGGAGCAAAACAGGAUUAGAUACCCUGGUAGUCCACGCCCUAAAACGAUGUCAACUAGUUGUUGGGGAUUCAUUUCCUUAGUAACGUAGCUAACGCGUGAAGUUGACCGCCUGGGGAGUACGGCCGCAAGAUUAAAACUCAAAGGAAUUGACGGGGUCAUAGCUGUUUCCU